GGGCGUUUAGCUCAGUUGGCUAGAGCGUCGCGUUGACAUCGCGGAGGUCACUGGUUCAAGCCCAGUAACGCCCA
RNAcentral lists this transfer RNA (74 nucleotides) under Planctomycetota bacterium. RNAcentral describes it as "tRNA-Val". It matches the Rfam family "tRNA". Rfam says of the family: Transfer RNA (tRNA) molecules are approximately 80 nucleotides in length. Their secondary structure includes four short double-helical elements and three loops (D, anti-codon, and T loops). RNAcentral also lists the same sequence under 1 other name. The record is from RNAcentral. Lineage: Bacteria; Pseudomonadati; Planctomycetota.